This 433-nucleotide ribosomal RNA is filed under the name uncultured bacterium. Its description in RNAcentral is "partial 16S ribosomal RNA". It matches the Rfam family "Bacterial small subunit ribosomal RNA", at positions 29 to 507 of the family's 1533-position model. The record is from RNAcentral.
AACGAACGCUGGCGGCAUGCCUAACACAUGCAAGUCGAACGAGACCUUCGGGUCUAGUGGCGCACGGGUGCGUAACGCGUGGGAACCUGCCCUUAGGUUCGGAAUAACUCCCCGAAAGGGGUGCUAAUACCGGAUAAUGUCUUCGGACCAAAGAUUUAUCGCCUUUGGAUGGGCCCGCGUUGGAUUAGCUAGUUGGUAGGGUAAAGGCCUACCAAGGCGACGAUCCAUAGCUGGUCUGAGAGGAUGAUCAGCCACACUGGGACUGAGACACGGCCCAGACUCCUACGGGAAGCAGCAGUGGGGAAUAUUGGACAAUGGGCGAAAGCCUGAUCCAGCAAUGCCGCGUGAGUGAUGAAGGCCUUAGGGUUGUAAAGCUCUUUUACCCGGGAUGAUAAUGACAGUACCGGGAGAAUAAGCUCCGGCUAACUCCGUG